This 232-nucleotide ribosomal RNA is filed under the name uncultured bacterium. Its description in RNAcentral is "partial 16S ribosomal RNA". It matches the Rfam family "Bacterial small subunit ribosomal RNA", at positions 104 to 334 of the family's 1533-position model. The record is from RNAcentral.
CGGGGUGAGUAACGCGUGGGUAACCUGCCUCAUACAGGGGGAUAACAGUUGGAAACGGCUGCUAAUACCGCAUAAGCGCACAGCAUCGCAUGAUGCAGUGUGAAAAACUCCGGUGGUAUAAGAUGGACCCGCGUUGGAUUAGCUAGUUGGUGAGGUAACGGCCCACCAAGGCGACGAUCCAUAGCCGACCUGAGAGGGUGACCGGCCACAUUGGGACUGAGACACGGCCCAA